CGGCUCUGCACUUGUGAAUUUUCUUAUUGAGUGAUAGAAAUUAUGGCGGAAUCAGGAUAUGAUAUUAAUGAUUUGGUUCAAGAAGCCCAAAUUAGGUGGUUGAAACCCGCUGAAGUUCUCUUUAUACUGCGAAAUCAUGAGAACCACCAGCUCUCCAGUGAGCCAUCUCAAAAGCCACCCAGCGGAUCAUUGUUUCUCUACAACAAGAGAGUCCUCAGGUUUUUCCGUAAAG
Molecule: unclassified non-coding RNA, 232 nt
Filed under: Hevea brasiliensis (rubber tree)
Lineage: Eukaryota; Viridiplantae; Streptophyta; Magnoliopsida; Malpighiales; Euphorbiaceae
Source: RNAcentral